Molecule: ribosomal RNA, 292 nt
Filed under: uncultured bacterium
Lineage: Bacteria
Description: partial 16S ribosomal RNA
Rfam family: Bacterial small subunit ribosomal RNA
Source: RNAcentral
GUGCCAGCCGCCGCGGUAAUACGGAGGGUGCAAGCGUUAUCCGGAUUCACUGGGUUUAAAGGGUGCGUAGGCGGGUAGGUAAGUCAGUGGUGAAAUCCCCGAGCUUAACUUGGGAACUGCCGUUGAUACUAUCUAUCUUGAAUUCUGUGGAGGUAAGCGGAAUAUGUCAUGUAGCGGUGAAAUGCUUAGAUAUGACAUAGAACACCUAUUGCGAAGGCAGCUUGCUACACAGUUAUUGACGCUGAGGCACGAAAGCGUGGGGAUCAAACAGGAUUAGAUACCCGUGUAGUCC